Molecule: ribosomal RNA, 1174 nt
Filed under: Escherichia coli
Lineage: Bacteria; Pseudomonadati; Pseudomonadota; Gammaproteobacteria; Enterobacterales; Enterobacteriaceae
Description: partial 23S ribosomal RNA
Rfam family: Bacterial large subunit ribosomal RNA
Source: RNAcentral
GCGGAUGGAGCUGAAAUCAGUCGAAGAUACCAGCUGGCUGCAACUGUUUAUUAAAAACACAGCACUGUGCAAACACGAAAGUGGACGUAUACGGUGUGACGCCUGCCCGGUGCCGGAAGGUUAAUUGAUGGGGUCAGCGCAAGCGAAGCUCUUGAUCGAAGCCCCGGUAAACGGCGGCCGUAACUAUAACGGUCCUAAGGUAGCGAAAUUCCUUGUCGGGUAAGUUCCGACCUGCACGAAUGGCGUAAUGAUGGCCAGGCUGUCUCCACCCGAGACUCAGUGAAAUUGAACUCGCUGUGAAGAUGCAGUGUACCCGCGGCAAGACGGAAAGACCCCGUGAACCUUUACUAUAGCUUGACACUGAACAUUGAGCCUUGAUGUGUAGGAUAGGUGGGAGGCUUAGAAGUGUGGACGCCAGUCUGCAUGGAGCCGACCUUGAAAUACCACCCUUUAAUGUUUGAUGUUCUAACGUUGACCCGUAAUCCGGGUUGCGGACAGUGUCUGGUGGGUAGUUUGACUGGGGCGGUCUCCUCCUAAAGAGUAACGGAGGAGCACGAAGGUUGGCUAAUCCUGGUCGGACAUCAGGAGGUUAGUGCAAUGGCAUAAGCCAGCUUGACUGCGAGCGUGACGGCGCGAGCAGGUGCGAAAGCAGGUCAUAGUGAUCCGGUGGUUCUGAAUGGAAGGGCCAUCGCUCAACGGAUAAAAGGUACUCCGGGGAUAACAGGCUGAUACCGCCCAAGAGUUCAUAUCGACGGCGGUGUUUGGCACCUCGAUGUCGGCUCAUCACAUCCUGGGGCUGAAGUAGGUCCCAAGGGUAUGGCUGUUCGCCAUUUAAAGUGGUACGCGAGCUGGGUUUAGAACGUCGUGAGACAGUUCGGUCCCUAUCUGCCGUGGGCGCUGGAGAACUGAGGGGGGCUGCUCCUAGUACGAGAGGACCGGAGUGGACGCAUCACUGGUGUUCGGGUUGUCAUGCCAAUGGCACUGCCCGGUAGCUAAAUGCGGAAGAGAUAAGUGCUGAAAGCAUCUAAGCACGAAACUUGCCCCGAGAUGAGUUCUCCCUGACUCCUUGAGAGUCCUGAAGGAACGUUGAAGACGACGACGUUGAUAGGCCGGGUGUGUAAGCGCAGCGAUGCGUUGAGCUAACCGGUACUAAUGAACCGUGAGGCUUAACCUU